Molecule: long non-coding RNA, 487 nt
Filed under: Medicago truncatula (barrel medic)
Lineage: Eukaryota; Viridiplantae; Streptophyta; Magnoliopsida; Fabales; Fabaceae
Description: long non-coding RNA (MTRU_LNC005656)
Source: RNAcentral
UCCUUUCUUCCUUUCUUCCUUGUUGUUUACUUCCUUCCUUAUUUAUCAAAUCUGUCUAUUUUUCUAAAUCAAUAUCCAUAAUUACCAUAAGGAGAGCCCAAAGAGUAAGGUAAAUCAAAAUUUACAUAGGCAAUCUGCCUUCCUUCCUUCCUUGUUGUACUUCCUUCCUUCCUUAUUUAUCAAAUCUGCCUUCCUUAUUCGUCCAUGCAUAUUACUCCUCUCUUUUCUUUUUAAAUGUGACUCAUUUUAUCAUUCAAAAUUUAGUGCAUUUUUAACAUUAACAUUUAACUCUCCUCUCUUCUUUGGUUUAGUUGACAAUUGACAAUUAAUUUCAUCAUCAAAUAUACUAUUAAAUGUGCUUUAGGGAUGGUGAGUCAAGAUCCUCUCACAUUUGUUCCAUUACCAAAAUUUUAGUGUAUAAAUGUCCUACUAAUAAUGUCUCCAAAUUUAGAAAUGUGUCCAUUUAUAUAAUUUAUAUACUUCAAGA